Molecule: ribosomal RNA, 611 nt
Filed under: bacterium 68-L049659-122-016-D09
Lineage: Bacteria
Description: bacterial SSU rRNA
Rfam family: Bacterial small subunit ribosomal RNA
Source: RNAcentral
UGCAGUCGAGCGAAUGGAUUGAGAGCUUGCUCUCAAGAAGUUAGCGGCGGACGGGUGAGUAACACGUGGGUAACCUGCCCAUAAGACUGGGAUAACUCCGGGAAACCGGGGCUAAUACCGGAUAACAUUUUGAACUGCAUGGUUCGAAAUUGAAAGGCGGCUUCGGCUGUCACUUAUGGAUGGACCCGCGUCGCAUUAGCUAGUUGGUGAGGUAACGGCUCACCAAGGCAACGAUGCGUAGCCGACCUGAGAGGGUGAUCGGCCACACUGGGACUGAGACACGGCCCAGACUCCUACGGGAGGCAGCAGUAGGGAAUCUUCCGCAAUGGACGAAAGUCUGACAGAGCAACGCCGCGUGAGUGAUGAAGGCUUUCGGGUCGUAAAACUCUGUUGUUAGGGAAGAACAAGUGCUAAUUGAAUAAGCUGGCACCUUGACGGUACCUAACCAGAAAGCCACGGCUAACUACGUGCCAGCAGCCGCGGUAAUACGUAGGUGGCAAGCGUUAUCCGGAAUUAUUGGGCGUAAAGCGCGCGCAGGUGGUUUCUUAAGUCUGAUGUGAAAGCCCACGGCUCAACCGUGGAGGGUCAUUGGAAACUGGGAGACUUGAGUG